This is a non-coding RNA of Pocillopora verrucosa, 755 nucleotides long. NCBI's taxonomy places the organism in Eukaryota, Metazoa, Cnidaria, Anthozoa, Scleractinia, Pocilloporidae. The record is from RefSeq and is a predicted model, not a curated record.
ACGCCAAGAAUCCAUUGGGACACGAUAUCUUGACCUUUGACGUUAAUGUUGAAGGUCCGCCGGUGAGGACGACUGCAGCACCAGAUAUCCAAACUCCAUCAUCUUCACCAAAAUCAGAUUUCCAAACCCCAUCAUCCUCACCAACAUCAUGGGGUUCAAGUCUCGCCGGAUGGAUAAUUACAAUAGUGAUCAAUCCACUUUUGGUAGUCAUAAUAAUAAUAUUAAUAAUAAUCAUUUGCAUUCUCAAGAAAAAAAGGAGUUCGCCAAACCGGCAUUUAAAUAGGCUGUUCUGGAGAUGCCUUUCUAAUAGUUAGUAUAGCUGUAAAUUGUAACAAACUAUUUUACUGCUAUUUCCGAAUAUUUUACGAAAAGUGUGAAAAGUCAUUUUUUCACCUGUCAAAAGAUAAUAGAAUUGUAAAUUGAAACGGACAAUUUUACUUCUAUUUUCCAAAUAUUUUGAGAAAAGUGUGAAAUGCAUUUUUUCUCGUCUAUAUUUAGUAAUCUGUUCAUUAGCUCUCGUUAAGAGAUUAUGAACUAUCUGUAUUCUCUGCCCUUGUCUUACAUUAUCCAUUUUUACUAAGGAAAAUACAAAUAAUGCGCGAAUCAGGUGCAAAUGUGAAUGGAUAAUUGGGCUUAGUGGACUGCAAUUUCUGUUGAACUGAGUGGAGUGCAGUUUGGUCUGAAAUCAUCCGCGUGAUUUCAUAAACUCGCAGCGCGAGUUUGAUUGAAAUCACAAGUAUGAUUUCAUAUCAAAA